Molecule: ribosomal RNA, 468 nt
Filed under: uncultured bacterium
Lineage: Bacteria
Description: partial 16S ribosomal RNA
Rfam family: Bacterial small subunit ribosomal RNA
Source: RNAcentral
GACGAACGCUGGCGGCGUGCUUAACACAUGCAAGUCGAACGGAAAGGCCCUGCUGUUGUGGGGUGCUCGAGUGGCGAACGGGUAAGUAACACGUAAGUAACCUGCCCUUGACUUUGGGAUAACUUCAGGAAACUUGGGCUAAUACCGGAUAGGAGCUCCUGCUGCAGGGUGGGGGAUGGAAAGUUUCAGCGGUUGGGGAUGGACUCGCGGCUUAUCAGCUUGUUGGUGGGGUAGUGGCUUACCAAGGCUUUGACGGGUAGCCGGCCUGGGAGGGUGACCGGCCACAUUGGGACUGAGAUACGGCCCAGACUCCUACGGGAGGCAGCAGUGGGGAAUAUUGCACAAUGGGCGGAAGCCUGAUGCAGCAACGCCGCGUGCGGGAUGACGGCCUUCGGGGUGUAAACCGCUUUCGCCUGUGACGAAGCGUGAGUGACGGUAAUGUGUAAAGAAGCACCGGCUAACUACGUG